UACGGGGGGGGUAAGCGUUGUUCGGAAUUACUGGGCGUAAAGGGCUCGUAGGCGGCCAACUAAGUCAGACGUGAAAUCCCUCAGCUUAACUGGGGAACUGCGUCUGAUACUGGAUGGCUUGGAUCCGGGAGAGGGAUGCGGAAUUCCAGGUGUAGCGGUGAAAUGCGUAGAUAUCUGGAGGAACACCGGUGGCGAAGGCGGCGUUCUGGACUGUCUCUGACACUGAAGAACGAAAGCCAGGGGAGCAAACGGG
This 253-nucleotide ribosomal RNA is filed under the name uncultured bacterium. Its description in RNAcentral is "partial 16S ribosomal RNA". It matches the Rfam family "Bacterial small subunit ribosomal RNA", at positions 524 to 776 of the family's 1533-position model. The record is from RNAcentral.